GGACUACUCGGGUUUCUAAUCCUGUUUGCUCCCCACACUUUCGAGCCUCAGCGUCAGUUAGAGCCCAGCAAGCCGCCUUCGCCACUGGUGUUCCUCCGAAUCUCUACGCAUUUCACCGCUACACUCGGAAUUCCGCUUGCCUCUACUCCACUCAAGAAAAACAGUUUCAACGGCAGGCCAUGGGUUGAGCCCAUGGAUUUCACCGCUGACUUGUUUUCCCGCCUGCGCUCCCUUUACACCCAGUAAUUCCGGACAACGCUCGCCACCUACGUAUUACCGCGGCUGCUGGCAC
This 292-nucleotide ribosomal RNA is filed under the name uncultured bacterium. RNAcentral's name for it is "partial 16S ribosomal RNA". The record is from RNAcentral.